This 382-nucleotide ribosomal RNA is filed under the name Microbacterium sp. L3 ecto 9. RNAcentral describes it as "bacterial SSU rRNA". It matches the Rfam family "Bacterial small subunit ribosomal RNA", at positions 537 to 917 of the family's 1533-position model. The record is from RNAcentral. Lineage: Bacteria; Bacillati; Actinomycetota; Actinomycetes; Micrococcales; Microbacteriaceae.
CACGAUAUCCGGGAUUAUUGGGCGUAAGAGCUCGUAGGCGGUUUGUCGCGUCUGCUGUGAAAUCCCGAGGCUCAACCUCGGGCCUGCAGUGGGUACGGGCAGACUAGAGUGCGGUAGGGGAGAUUGGAAUUCCUGGUGUAGCGGUGGAAUGCGCAGAUAUCAGGAGGAACACCGAUGGCGAAGGCAGAUCUCUGGGCCGUAACUGACGCUGAGGAGCGAAAGGGUGGGGAGCAAACAGGCUUAGAUACCCUGGUAGUCCACCCCGUAAACGUUGGGAACUAGUUGUGGGGUCCAUUCCACGGAUUCCGUGACGCAGCUAACGCAUUAAGUUCCCCGCCUGGGGAGUACGGCCGCAAGGCUAAAACUCAAAUGAAUUGACGGA